This 1140-nucleotide long non-coding RNA is filed under the name Phasianus colchicus (ring-necked pheasant). RNAcentral describes it as "lncRNA (ENSPCLG00000010441.1)". Lineage: Eukaryota; Metazoa; Chordata; Aves; Galliformes; Phasianidae. The record is from RNAcentral.
UUACGUCUCAGUAGAAGUGAAGUACAAACAGUGCAACAUCAACUCACUUCGGUAUUGUCUCCUGUAGGGGUGUGAGGAAAACAGUUACCCCACAAGAAGCUGAUCACAUGUCUAGCAAACUUUAGAUCAGACAGCAAGCCAGACAAAAGACCUUUUAGGAAGCUAAAUCCCUGCACUACACAAAGGACGCAUCCAAAACUCCCCUGAUAUUUUACUUCGUACCUCCUGAGAGACUUUUCCGUAGCAGUUUCUCCUCAGUUCCACUCCCCUACACAAGGCCCGCGUGCAACCAAGCUCUCCAGAGCCUAGCUUUAAGGGCUCUGACCAUGUGUCCACCUAAAUAACUGCGUUGUCUGCGGGGGGCCAACGAGCCCAAUGAGGUGUGGUUUCAGAAUCAGCAGCAGCUGUUGCUCCUCUCAGUAGCAGAGUCACACACAGGUAAUUGUGAGGUGCUAACAGCUGCGUAGUGCGCGAGCUCCAUCAGGGUUGUCUGCGGGGGGCCAACGAGCCCAAAUUGAGGCGUGGUCGCAGAAACAGCAGCAGCUGUAGCCCUUCUCAGCACCAGAGUCGCACAGAGGUAAUUGUGAGGUGCUAACUGCUGCGUGAUGCGCGAGUUCCAUCACGGGUCAGCUGCUUCUGGGCAGGAGCAGCGGACGGGUCUGCCUUCAGAAGCGCCAGGUGAAGGCCGAUGGACGAGCUUAUCGUUCGAGAUGCACGCCAUUCCUCUUUCAUCUUUUCUUGGGGAGGAAGCAUAGAUGUGACAACACUCAAUUUUCAGCCACUUCUGCAGUGUUCUUCUAACUGAGAAGCAGGAGAUGUCAUUUACUAGCAGGUCUGGCAACGUUACAUUUCCAGGGCAUUACUAAAACAAAACACAAGAUCCCUGAAAACUGAAAUAUGGUCAAGAAGAACAACUGUCUGUUAACUUAGGUGCAAAAGGAAAAUGUCAUGCAGAAUUGGGCCAAAAGAUCCAGUAUCUUCUGGAAAUUGAAUCUCCUCCAGGUCGAACAGUCUCAGGAUGUGGUCUGCAUGUUAGCACUGAGUCGUCUCUGUGGAUCCAGAAGAAUUCAUUUGAAGAAGAAAGCAGAAGAAGCUGCCGUGAGCCACUACAGGAGUCAGUUUUCCCAGGAUGGAGCCGCC